RNAcentral lists this ribosomal RNA (432 nucleotides) under uncultured bacterium. RNAcentral describes it as "partial 16S ribosomal RNA". It matches the Rfam family "Bacterial small subunit ribosomal RNA", at positions 29 to 506 of the family's 1533-position model. The record is from RNAcentral.
AACGAACGCUGGCGGCAUGCCUAACACAUGCAAGUCGAACGAGACCUUCGGGUCUAGUGGCGCACGGGUGCGUAACGCGUGGGAACCUGCCCUUAGGUUCGGAAUAACUCCCCGAAAGGGGUGCUAAUACCGGAUAAUGUCUUCGGACCAAAGAUUUAUCGCCUGUGGAUGGGCCCGCGUUGUAUUACCUUGUUGGUAGGGUAAAGGCCUACCAAGGCGACGUUCCAUAGCUGGUCUGAGAGGAUGAUCAGCCACACUGGGACUGAGACACGGCCCAGACUUCUGCGGGAGGCAGCAGUGGGGAAUAUUGGACAACGGGCGAAAGCCUGAUCCAGCAAUGACGAGUGAGUGAUGAAGGGCUUAGGGUUGUAAAGCUCUUUUACCCGGGAUGAUAAUGACAGUACCGGGAGAAGAAGCCCCGGCUAACUCGGU